This 580-nucleotide long non-coding RNA is filed under the name Gossypium barbadense (sea-island cotton). Its description in RNAcentral is "long non-coding RNA (GBAR_LNC007639)". Lineage: Eukaryota; Viridiplantae; Streptophyta; Magnoliopsida; Malvales; Malvaceae. The record is from RNAcentral.
GUUUCAAUGUCAGAAACGCUACUUCUUCCUUUAACUCGUGCAUUCUCCAAAACCCAUUUCACCACCCCACACCACCUCCUCAAAACCACCUCUGCUCGCUCCGCCGCCCGAUUCCGCCACCGCCAUAAGCAAGUUCCACUUCCUCUUUCCUCUGGUAGCGACUAUACUCUUUCCUUCACUCUCGGCUCCCCUCCUUCCCCGCCUAUUUCCCUUUACCUUGACACAGGCAGCGACGUUGUUUGGCUUCCUUGUUCUCCAUUUGAAUGCAUCCUCUGCGAAUCAAAAGCACCACCACUCUCUCCUCCACUUAACCUUUCCGCCUCAGCCACUGCUGUCCCAUGCAAAUCCUCCGCCUGCUCAGCUGCUCACUCUUCCCUCCCUUCCUCUGACCUUUGCGCCAUGGCACGUUGUCCCCUCGACGCCAUCGAAACCUCCGACUGCAACUCCUUCCCUUGCCCUCCUUUCUACUAUGCCUACGGUGACGGCAGCUUAACCGCCCUUCUCUAUAAAGACUCUUUAACUCUCCCAAACUCUCUCUCUGUUCAAAACUUUACUUUUGGUUGCGCCCACACCACCUUGG